CGGUAAGGCCGGGCACUCUGGAUGGACUGCCGGCGACAAGCCGGAGGAAGGUGGGAUGACGUCAAGUCAUCAUGGCCCUUAUGUCCAGGGCGACACACGUGCUACAAUGGCCGGCACAGCGGGAAGCGAGGGGCGGACCUUGAGCGGAUCCCUCAAAGCCGGUCUCAGUUCGGAUUGCAGUCUGCAACUCGACUGCAUGAAGUUGGAAUCGCUAGUAAUCGUGGAUCAGCCAAGCCGCGGUGAAUACGUUCCCGGGCCUU
RNAcentral lists this ribosomal RNA (260 nucleotides) under uncultured Thermovirga sp. Its description in RNAcentral is "partial 16S ribosomal RNA". It matches the Rfam family "Bacterial small subunit ribosomal RNA", at positions 1122 to 1382 of the family's 1533-position model. The record is from RNAcentral. Lineage: Bacteria; Thermotogati; Synergistota; Synergistia; Synergistales; Thermovirgaceae.